UACGGGGGGGGCAAGCGUUGUUCGGAAUUACUGGGCGUAAAGGGCUCGUAGGCGGUUCGGUAAGUCAGGUGUGAAAACUCCAGGCUCAACUUGGAGACGCCACCUGAUACUGUCGUGACUAGAGUCCGGUAGGGGAGCAUGGAAUUCCUGGUGUAGCGGUGAAAUGCGCAGAUAUCAGGAGGAACACCAGCGGCGAAGGCGGUGCUCUGGGCCGGAACUGACGCUGAGGAGCGAAAGCGUGGGGAGCGAACAGG
Molecule: ribosomal RNA, 254 nt
Filed under: uncultured bacterium
Lineage: Bacteria
Description: partial 16S ribosomal RNA
Rfam family: Bacterial small subunit ribosomal RNA
Source: RNAcentral